Molecule: transfer RNA, 68 nt
Filed under: Marmota monax (woodchuck)
Lineage: Eukaryota; Metazoa; Chordata; Mammalia; Rodentia; Sciuridae
Description: tRNA.Ala
Rfam family: tRNA (bases 5-65)
About the family: Transfer RNA (tRNA) molecules are approximately 80 nucleotides in length. Their secondary structure includes four short double-helical elements and three loops (D, anti-codon, and T loops). Further hydrogen bonds mediate the characteristic L-shaped molecular structure. tRNAs have two regions of fundamental functional importance: the anti-codon, which is responsible for specific mRNA codon recognition, and the 3' end, to which the tRNAs corresponding amino acid is attached (by aminoacyl-tRNA synthetases). tRNAs cope with the degeneracy of the genetic code in two manners: having more than one tRNA (with a specific anti-codon) for a particular amino acid; and 'wobble' base-pairing, i.e. permitting non-standard base-pairing at the 3rd anti-codon position.
Source: RNAcentral
GGAUUGUAGUUCAGUGGUAGAGCACUUGUCUAGCAUGUAUGAGGCACUGGGUUCAAUCCUCAGCACCA